UACGUAGGGUGCAAGCGUUGUCCGGAAUCAUUGGGCGUAAAGCGCGUGUAGGCGGCUCGAUAAGUCCGCUCUGAAAGUCCAGGGCUCAACCCUGGGAUGCGGGUGGAUACUGUCGGGCUCGAGUCCGGAAGAGGCGAGUGGAAUUCCUGGUGUAGCGGUGAAAUGCGCAGAUAUCAGGAGGAACACCAAUGGCGAAGGCAGCUCGCUGGGACGUGACUGACGCUGAGACGCGAAAGCGUGGGGAGCAAACAGG
This 253-nucleotide ribosomal RNA is filed under the name uncultured bacterium. Its description in RNAcentral is "partial 16S ribosomal RNA". It matches the Rfam family "Bacterial small subunit ribosomal RNA", at positions 524 to 776 of the family's 1533-position model. The record is from RNAcentral.